Panthera uncia (snow leopard) is the source of this 3208-nucleotide long non-coding RNA. RefSeq lists it as uncharacterized. The record is from RefSeq and is a predicted model, not a curated record. Lineage: Eukaryota; Metazoa; Chordata; Mammalia; Carnivora; Felidae. The transcript is spliced from 2 exons.
CUAGCUGACUUCUCUUUUCUUGAAAGUGGAACAAAUAUGCAACCACGCUCCAGUUUUUUUGUUUUUGUUUUUUUUUAAGUUGAAGAUAAAAAGGCAUUACGUACCAGCUGAGAGAAUGCCACACUGAUGUUCCAAUGUAAAAGAAAACAAUGUUGAGACAAUGGCAUUAAACUCAGGAUACCACGGAGUCUGUUGGGCCUCAAUCAGAGGCCCCAUUCUUUCAUUUGUUAUGUAGACUCCAUGCACGAAUUGUGUCAACGAUUUCAUAAUUCAGAUAACGAAACAAAAGGAAACACAAGUAAGGUGUCAGGCAUUCAAAUUCUGCCCUGCUCUGUGGAGAAACUGGAGUAUCUGAAUUUCAAGAUACUUAAGACACCAAACUCAAGAAGCCCGCCUGCUUCUCAUUCACCUGGACCUCUGCGCACAGCAAAGAGCCAGUCAGUGUUGGAAGAGAUAAAACCAAACCGAGGGUUCUCAGCCUUGGCUGCACGUUAGAAUCAGCUGUGGACCUUCUAACGCUCCUGAUGCCCAAACCUUUCCACCUCACUAUAUCUGGGGUGAAUGCAGGCCUCAGGAUUUUUUUUUUUUUUUUUUUUUUACAGUUCUCCAGGUGACUCCAGUGUGCAGCCGGGAUUGAGAACCACUGCUGAAGACCCUCCCCAUUUCUGGUCUUGCCCUGGGCCACCCAGCACUCCCCACUGCUGUUCUCUGCGCUCCUCGUUGGCGAACUGGAGAAGAAAGAGGUCAGGCAGUGGGAUACCAAAGUCUUGUCUAGCAGCUACUGACUCUGUCGCCAGAACGGAAUAGCUUAACAGUCACCACUGAAGCCUUGAGCCCCCUUAAACCACGGGUCCUCAAACUUUAGCUUCAGAAUCACCUGGAAAGUUUCUCAAACACAGAAUGGUGACCACCACUCCCGGAAUUUCUGCUUUAGUAGGUCUGGGAUGAAGCUAAAACGUUUCAUUUCUAACAAAAUGCGGUGGCUGCUGGCCUGGAGUCCAUGCUUUGAGAGCCAUUGGUCUAAGUUGUGCUUAGUUAUUAGUGAUGCCUCUUGUCCACAACAUUUACCAUGCACCCACAUCAGCUGGUGGGUUUUAAGCUCUGUCCAAAUCAGUGAGGGUAUCUAUAGCGGCUGUGCCUCGGCAUGUUUUAAAAGCUCCCCGAGUGAUUUCAGUAAGCAUGCCAGGCUGAGAGUUACUGAGUUAAACUGUAAUUCAAUUGACUUUAUUUUAAUUUGUUGUUACUAAGCUUUAAAGGAGGGGUGCCUGGGGGGCUCAGUCGGUUAAGCGUCUGACUUCAGUUCAGGUCAUGAUCUCAUGGCUCAUGAGUUCAAGCCCUGCGUCCGGCUCUGUGCUGACAGUUCGGAGCCUGGAGCCUGCUUCGGAUUCUGUUUCCGUUUCUCUCUGCCCCUCCCUCACUCACAAUCUGUGCGUCUCUCUCUCAAAAAUAGAUAUUAAAAAAAAAAAAAAAGAUGAGCGGAGACCCUAUACAGAAAGAAGCCUCUGAGAGCAAAAUUAAUAGGAAUAGGCAUCCAUCAGAUGGUCUAUCUCUUCUGUGCUGGUGUCUGUUUACAAAUCAGUUGUUCAGCAUCUGUGGAAUCGGACUGCGAUGGGCCAUGGAACAAAUGGGAACCAAUGACGUACCAGGCUCAUCCGACUGCAACCUGUCUGUGGGAGGGUGAUUGUGUUGGAUGCAGGGAGACACCAGGGCCAAGUGGAUGGACGAUGCUCCUUGGUGUUGGGCCACUGGGAUAUCAGCCUGCAUGGACCACAGGUGGGUUUCUGAAGUGUUCUGCCUUUCUCCCAUUUGCUUGGAUUCAAAACAGUACUAACCUAUUGUUUAUCAUCUGAGAGUACUUCAUUCAGGUACUUUUUUUUUUUUAAUGUUUCUUUAUUUGUGAGGGAGAGAGAGAGCGAGCAGGGGAGAGGCAGAGGGGUUGGGGGGACAGAGGACCUGAAAAGAGCUCUGCACUGACAGCAGAGAGAGAGCCCAAUGAGGGGCUCGAACUCACAAACCGUGAGAUCAUGACCUGAGCCAAAGCCAGACGCUUAACCAAGUGAGCCCCCAGGCGCCCCCACAUACUUGUUUAUUGUCUGAUGCCUCCACAGUUUGGUGCCUUUUGUAUCCCUAGCACCUGUAACCCUGUCUGCCAGCGGGUAAAAGUUGUUUAGGAAAUGUAAAUAGGCCAUGUUAGUCUGAGAGAAAAUGCGGGGACAUCUCUUACCUUUUUAUCAAGAAUAUAAUGUCCUCCUGCCUCUAUCCACCCUCUUCCAGGAAUACACAGUGUACAUUCUUAGUCACAGAGAGAAACACGGAUCUAAGGUGGUCUUCUUAAAAAGUUAUCUAGGGGCGCCUGGGUGGCUCAGUCGGUUGGGCGUCCGACUUCAGCUCAGGUCAUGAUCUCACGGUCCGUGAGUUCGAGCCCCGCGUCGGGCUCUGGGCUGAUGGCUCAGAGCCUGGAGCCUGCUUCCGAUUCUGUAUCUCCUUCUCUCUCUCUGCCCCUCCCCUGUUCAUGCUCUGUCUCUCUCUGUCUCAAAAAUAAAUAAACGUUAAAAAAAAAAUUUUUUUUUAAGUUAUCUAAAUUUCAAAGAAAGCACUGGAAAAUGAGAGGAACUGUUGAACGCAAAGUUAAAAAUACUGAAUGAUAAAAUUUCAUGUUCCUAGUUUUUGUUUUGUUUGGGUGGGGGGAUUCCAGUGUUUCCCAUGGUUUCCCACAUGUAAAGGCUGGGUGACCUAAUUCUCUCUGGGGACAAGACUAGGGAAAUGGAGAGAUUGUGGUUGUCAUUGUAAGCUCUGUUGUACUAUUUGACCAUUUUGAUUAAGUGGAAAUACUCACCUAAUGUAUUUUCCUGACAUAUUUACCUGAAGAAGGUAUGAUCAGGUUAACUAUGGUUGAACAGAUGCAAGACAAUAGCGCCGAAGGGUGAGGGCGGGUUUUAACUGUCAAAGGGCAGUUCAGAGGCACCAGGGUGGCUCAGUCAGUUACCUGUCUGUCUUUGGCUCGAUGGUGAUCUUGCAGUUCAUGGGUUCAAGCCCCACAUCAGGCUCUGCAUUAUCAGUGCAUUAUCUGCACUGCAUUAUCAGUGCAGAGCCUGCCUGGGAUUUUCGCUCUCCCUCUCUCUCUGCCCCUCCCCCACUCAUGCUUGCAUGCUCUAAAUAAACAAAUAAACUGUAAAAAAAAAAAAAGGAAAGAAAGAAAAAAAGUAAA